ACAUAAACGACUAUCGCCUGAAUCCCUAUAAAAAUACGUGCACGAUUAUGAUUUUAGUAUAACACAGUAUUGAGCUAUUUUAUUCUCUGGUGAGUAAAUUAUCAUAUGAAACGUUUUCAAAUGUGUGACCAAAGUUAACAGUUUUUUAUUUUUUUAUUUGCAGUCGCUUCUUGACUCCACGAAAACUAAUCAAAAUCAAAAAUGGGCGCAGAAAAAGUAUCCAUGAACAUCGUCGUAGUCGGACAGGUCCAAUCAGCCAAAGCCGCCAAAAUCGUCGCCAAGGCCGCACCCGCCGACAGUCGAUUGAUGGUAAGUUUGACCGCGAGUUUACUUGUUUUGUUUGACUUUUUUCGUUUGUUCCAUUAGACUUCAUUAUGAUUGUACGCAUUAAUUAAUUCAUAUCGCAUUCUGUUAACCAUUUUACUAUGACGAUCACAGUAAAAACUUAUACGAAAUAUUAUUUAUCAAUCGAUAAAUGACUUUAAUAUAUCUAAACAUGUAUUAAAGCGAAUAUAAUAAACAAUAUCGCUUUAUUCUUAAAGCCNUUUUCUCGGUGCCUAAGUAUGUGAAGUCAUUGAUCAUGAUGUCGUUUGUUUGUUUCAGAACUGUUAACUCAUUUACUCAACUCAUCGAAUACACACUCAAAAAUGCCAUAGCCCAUACAAAUGUACACAAUAUUAUGUAACUUAUAAAUAUAAUGUAAAUUGACAUACAAAAAUAAACCAUUCUUUCCGUAAUUUA
Non-coding RNA from Cinara cedri, 741 nucleotides. The record is from the annotation of a GenBank genome assembly. NCBI's taxonomy places the organism in Eukaryota, Metazoa, Arthropoda, Insecta, Hemiptera, Aphididae.